UACGUAGGGUGCAAGCGUUGUCCGGAAUUACUGGGCGUAAAGGGCGCGUAGGCGGACAGUUUAGUCAGAGGUGAAAGCCCAGGGCUCAACCUUGGAAUUGCCUUUGAUACUGACUGUCUUGAGUUCGGGAGAGGUGAGUGGAAUGCCGAGUGUAGAGGUGAAAUUCGUAGAUAUUCGGCGGAACACCAGUGGCGAAGGCGACUCACUGGCCCGAUACUGACGCUGAGGCGCGAAAGCGUGGGGAGCAAACAGG
Molecule: ribosomal RNA, 253 nt
Filed under: uncultured bacterium
Lineage: Bacteria
Description: partial 16S ribosomal RNA
Rfam family: Bacterial small subunit ribosomal RNA
Source: RNAcentral